CGACUCGCACGAGAUCCCUUGGUCGCCGCCCUCGCACUCGCAUCCUUCGCCGCCGCCCUCGCACAUCAAGCCGCCGUCGAUCCCUGCGCUACUACGGGAGCCGCCGCCGAUCCCAUUGAGGAGCCGCCGCCGAUGACGGGAGACGCCGCCUAUCCCGUUGAGGAGCCGCCGCCGAUGACGGGAGACGCCGCACGCUGACCUACCCCUCCCCAAUCCCUAGCAUCGCACCUCUUCCCGUCUGGCGCCUCCUACCUCGGCUGGGCGGUGGCCUCGAGUGCCUCUUCUUCCCCAAUGCGGCCUCAACCAACGACGCUGCACCCCCGUGAUGACUCCGCCCCACGAUUCCCAUCGGUCGGCGCCUCGCCAGCAGUGACCUCCCCCUCCAUGUAUCAUGUGAUCCGGUCGUGCGCCACCGCCUCUCUAGGCGCUUAGAUCCAGGCUUCCAGAAGGGGGUAGGGGUGGAGGCGGCAGCGGAGGGGACAGGGAUGUGGACCGGAGAAACUACAUGGUGGAGGCACAACAAAGCGUUCAAGCACGGCACCCCAUCGCAUGCAGCUGCAGCCAGCGGCAGGUGUUGGGCACUUUGAGGUAUGCAAACCUUCUCAGAGCAAGGGGAGCAAGAGUACCGGUACUGCAUUUCUUAUCUUCAUCACUCAAAAUUCCCAGAACUAAUCGUGAGCUCUUGCUUUGAUACAGAACUAAUCUUGAAGGUGAUAGCCCUGUUUCUUCCCUGUUUUAGAUCAACCGUUCUUCUUUCUUCCUUGGAGCUCCACUGUUUUGGAUGAACUGGACUAACCCUAGAAGGGAUGAAGGUCAUCCACGAGGUGUCUCAAGGUGAACCCCGUGGUACCCGACCAAGUGGCUGGAGGGAAUGGUGUAUGCUCACAAGUUUGUACAGACCAAUUUGUUUCACUCGGACAAGAAUCCCACGAACCUUAAUGUGGCCUUUAAGUUUCAGGUCCUUGGGGUUGGAUGCGGCAACUCGCGGCUCGAAGACAAUCUUUUGUGGUGGGGCGUCGCCGCCGCCGGCGGCACCUGCAUAGACCGUAUCGCUGGGAACGAAGAGAUGCUCCCCUGAUUUGGAGCUGUAGAAAGGAAGUGGUUGCAGACACAAAGUGGGGACACACAACUCCCAGUCAUAAUAUUCUUUAUCUUGGCUCGUUGUUUGGGGAUGGACGCAUCAAUCUGAUGGCGCUCUCCUCCAUGCCAAACGGAUCUUUGGUUCGGAGGCGCGCGGCGCCGACGAUGACAACCUUUCUAUCGACGCAAGGGCAGCAGGAGCUCAUGACGCUGUUGAUGCCACCACCAUGCAUGGGGUUGAUGCAAGGUGGGACAAUGCGAUCACUAAUGGGGAGAACAUAAAACUUCAAUUGAGGGCACUGUGAUUCUCUAGCUACAUGUAUCAUGGUCACCAACCACACAUGUAAAAACCAUGUCUCCCUACUGUAAUUUGAUGAUUUAUUUACAUGUGGCACAGAAUAGUUCAGAGUUCACUCCGAGAAAGAAUUGCUUUGCAUGUACAUUUGCUAAAAGACGGAUGUGCUGAACUUUCGACGGUUCCGAUUGGUAUUCAACGUGAGGAAUUUUAUACUUUUGGAGUGGAGCUAUCAAAUAUAUAUUAUGAGUUUCUAAAACAUCUAUUAUAAGGAGUUGAACAGAGCUUCCUCUGCCCCGGCAGAUUCUGAGAAAACUAACCAGCAGAGAACAUGAACAAAUAUAGUGAUGAGAAAGGGUGGAGCUGAGUACACCACACAUGGAUAUGAUGGUCUCCCCUAUGUUCUUUUUGGCAAUCCAGUUAAUCACUGACUCAACUUUGUAUGGGGCGCUUCCGAUGCACAAAUGGUGGCGGUGAAGCAGCAGGCCCGAGAGAGCGUGCAGGGGAGGAAGGAGUUCCUGGUGGAGGUGCUGAUACUGGCGGUGCUCAGCCACCCUAACUUCGUCAGCCUGAUCGGCUUCUGCACGCAGGGGACAAGCGGCUGCUGUUGU
Long non-coding RNA from Triticum aestivum (bread wheat), 1986 nucleotides. RefSeq lists it as uncharacterized. The record is from RefSeq and is a predicted model, not a curated record. The transcript has 10 exons. NCBI's taxonomy places the organism in Eukaryota, Viridiplantae, Streptophyta, Magnoliopsida, Poales, Poaceae.